RNAcentral lists this ribosomal RNA (786 nucleotides) under uncultured bacterium. Its description in RNAcentral is "bacterial SSU rRNA". It matches the Rfam family "Bacterial small subunit ribosomal RNA", at positions 707 to 1504 of the family's 1533-position model. The record is from RNAcentral.
UACCAAUUGCGAAGGCAGCUUUCUGGAUCAUUACUGACACUGAGGAACGAAAGCAUGGGUAGCGAAGAGGAUUAGAUACCCUCGUAGUCCAUGCCGUAAACGAUGUGUGUUAGACGUUGGAAAUUUAUUUUCAGUGUCGCAGCGAAAGCGAUAAACACACCGCCUGGGGAGUACGACCGCAAGGUUAAAACUCAAAUGAAUUGACGGGGACCCGCACAAGUAGUGGAGCAUGUGGUCUAAUUCGAAGAUACGCGCAGAACCUUACCAACACUUGACAUGUUCGUCGCGACUCUAAGAGAUUAGAGUUUUCGGUUCGGCCGGACGAAACACAGGUGCUGCAUGGCUGUCGUCAGCUCGUGUCGUGAGAUGUUGGGUUAAGUCCCGCAACGAGCGCAACCCUCACUUUUAGUUGCCAUCAUUAAGUUGGGCACUCUGAAAGAACUGCCAGUGAUAAGCUGGAGGAAGGUGGGGAUGACGUCAAGUCCUCAUGGCCCUUACGUGUUGGGCUACACACGUGCUACAAUGGCAUCUACAACAGGAAGCAAAACGGCAACGUUAAGCAAAUCCCGAAAAGAUGCCUCAGUUCGGAUUGCACUCUGCAACUCGAGUGCAUGAAGCUGGAAUUACUAGUAAUCGUGGAUCAGCGUGCCACGGUGAAUGCGUUCCCGGGUCUUGUACACACCGCCCGUCACACCAUGGGAGUUGGUUCUACCUUAAGGCAAGGUUUCAAACCCUUGACCACGGUAUAGUCAGCGACUGGGGUGAAGUCGUAACAAGGUAGCCGUA